CCCCUUCCUUCUCUCUCCUCCCUCUCUCUCUCCCGUGCGACCGCUUCCUCCAUCUUCUUCAUCUUCUUCUUCGAAACCCAGCAAGCCGAAGAACCAGCGAAGCCGGAGCCAAGGCCGUCGUCGCCGCCUCACGCCGCACGCCGUCGUAGCUCCGCGACCGCCUGCACGCCCUCCGCCUUCCUCUCUCCCUUCUGCUGGUGUCGGCUUCUUCUUCUUCUCCCUGGGUGCUGUCCGACGCCCCAGCAGAUCUGGGAUGGACGCCGGAGCAGCCAGCGACUGCUCGCGACGCCGCCGUCCUCCGCCAUUCGCCACCGUGCUGCCGCCCUCGCGCGCCGCUGCUGGCCACGCGCGCCUUAACCGCCCUCUCGCCCAGCUCGCUGUUCCAGAGCUGCUGUCCAGCUCCGUUUGGCCAGCACAGGCCGCGGCUCAGCCGCUCCGGCCGCCGUACGCCACCAUCUCGACCUGCCGGAGCUCCGCUUGGCCCUAGCCGCCCUUGGCCGCCUCAACCGACGCCGGAUUCGCCCCCAACCAGCAGCGCACAGAGAGUGCAAAAAAUGGGUAUGGCAGUGGCUUCGUGGCCCGUUUUGGCCGGCUUCCCGACCCCGGAAGCUAGGCCCGCCUUGGAGUGAAUCGAUCCUCGCGUCGUCCUCGUCGAUUUGAGCCGCUCGGAUCGUUAAUCGGGUGAGUUUAACUCACUAAUCCCCGCUUAGUAGGUUACUAAUCCCCGCUUAGUAGGUUGAGCGGCUCGUUAAUCGGGUGAGUUUAACUCACUAAUUCCCGCUUAAUAGGUUACUAAUCCCCGCUUAGUAGGUUAAUCACGUUUUAGUAGGUUACUAAUCCCCGCUUAGUAGGUUAAUCACGUUUAAGGGUUGCUUAGUUUUAAUUAGUUACGUUUAGGUGGUUAGAUUAGUAUGGAUUAGUGUUUAUUAGUCAAUUGUGAUGUAAAUUAAACAAAUUGAUUGUGCAAUUAGCAAGUAUACGUAGUCUACUAUUUAUUGAAAGCAUCUCGGGAUUUUUUCCCGACCCUUAGUGGGCUUCAAUUAGGUUUUUCGGGCCUAAGUGGAAUUUUUGGUAUUUAAAUAUUAUUUUUCGGAAUUAAAUUAAUUAAUUAAUUAUUUUCCGAAAAUUCAAUUGAGAUGGCUAGUGACCGGAAUAUUAUGCUGAUGACCGUGGUGAAGUCCGUUUAUUUAAUCGGGCUUUAUUUUGAGCUAAAUUGAAUUUUUUUAAUAUUAAUUAUUUAAUUUUCGAAAUUAAUUAUUUAUUUAUUUAUUUUCCGAAAAUUCAACUGGAAUGGUUAGUGACCGGAAUUUUAUGCCAAUGAUCGUGGUGAAGUCCGUUUAUUUAAUUAAGCUUCAAUUUGAGCUAAAUUGAAUUUAUUGUAAUUAAUUAUUAAUUUUCGAAAUUAAUUAAUUAAUUAAUUAAAUUUCGGAAAUUAAGAUUGAGAUGGCCGACGACCGAAAUUCCGUGCUGAUUAUCGUGGUGCAGUCCGUUUAUUUAUUUGAGCAUUAAUUUGUGCUGAAUUGAAUUAAUUGGGAAUUUAGGAUUUAUUCCUAAAUUAUAUGAUUUUGGUUAUUAACGGAAAAAUAACCGGGCGUCGGUUUACAGCGCCAAAAAUAUGUAAUGGGCUGUUGAAAUUGUUGGGAUGUUUGUAAGUAAAAUUAUUAUAUUUUGGCUAAGGCCAACCGUGUACCCACACACGGCUAUUUAUUGAGAAUGAUAAAAGAUGGAAUUGAUUGUAUGAGAGAGUGGUAUACUAUAUCGGCCUACGGGC
Molecule: long non-coding RNA, 1771 nt
Filed under: Eucalyptus grandis
Lineage: Eukaryota; Viridiplantae; Streptophyta; Magnoliopsida; Myrtales; Myrtaceae
Description: long non-coding RNA (EGRA_LNC006304)
Source: RNAcentral